GAUCCCUACAAAUAUAAUAAAUAACAAAUAUAUUUAUACAAAAUUUAAAUUUUAUAUAUUAUUUUUAUAAAAAUUUUAAUAUUUUUAAAUAUAUUUUUCUAUUAUCAUUAAAAAAUUAUUUAUAUUUUUAAUUUUGUCAUCAUAAAUAUGUCCAUUUUAAAAAUAUAACAAUAUAAUAUAAAAAUAGUAAAAAUGUCAAAAACUAAUUAGAGUGUAAUAUUUAAUCUAUGAUUAACUAAAAUUUUUUAAAAAUUAUAAAUGAUUGAAAUAUAUUUAAAAAUAUUAAAAUUUUUAUAAAAAUAAUAUAUAAAAAUUAAAUUUUAUAAAAAUAUAUUAUUAUUUAUUAUGUUUGUACGAAUUUGUAUAAAAUUAAUUUUAUAGUGGGUGAUUGAUGUAGAUUCGGGUCCACAUGGAGUGCAAGAAAAGAUGGGGGGAAUAAAGCGAAACUAGAUGAGCAACGGAGUUUGAAAAGAGUCCUGCGCUGCGCAGGAAGCAUCGAGGAAGCCGGCAAAAGCACGGCAGUGGAUUUCCUGUAAUCCACAGUACAAUAGUACUCUUCUGCAGAGUUUCAUUCGUGUUCGUAAGCGGCAUGCAUUUAUAGAUCAAACUAGGCUGGAAUAUUAUUAAUAGCAUCAAAGACUUAGUAUUGUUAAAUUUUUUAUUCUUAGAUAAAUUUUCUAUUCUUAGAUUAAAAAAUAUACAGUUAGAAUAAUGUGGGCUCCUUAGGAUUGAGUGGGUAGUUGGUUGAAUAGUAUAAUCGAAUGGAUAAAAAUAAUAAAAUAGCUAAAUCUAACGGCAGAAAACUUGAUAGCACUAAAUGCUUGGUGCUAUCGAUAGCAUAGCAGUCAGACUCUUUAUAAACUUUAAGUAUAAUAAAAGAUCGUCUCAUUAAAUAUAAUUAUAAAUAUAGUAUAGAUAAAGAUACAUGUAUGUUAUUUGAUUAGAUACAGCAAGAAAACAUCUCAACUAUAAAUAAUAAUUUGUUUGGUUACAUGCAAUUGAAAAAUAAUUCUUAAAAUUUUAUUAUUUUAUAUAUAUAUAUAUAUAUGAUGAUAAGAUUAUCUUAAUAUAUAUAAAUAAAAAAAUUUAUUUAAAAAAUAAUUAAAGAGAUAAAUAUAUUUUUUAUUUAUACUAAAUUUGUUUUUGUAUGCGAUUGUAACUGCACUCCAAACAGCCACUAAAUAUAUAAAUAUUAUUUCGGGCCGAUUUUUUGGAAUUGAUUAUUAGCGGUUUCGGCCCAUAGAUACUGUUCAAGCUGAUAAAAUAUUAUCAUGAAAAUAUAUUUUAUUUAGUUUCGUAAAUGAUAUAAGUAGAAUGUAGUGAUGAUUUUGUUGUUAAUCAUGCCAUUCCAUUAAUGCCCCGUUUGGAUUGGGAAUAACGGGUGGAAUAACCGCUUAUACCAUUAAUAUCCAAACGCUAAACUUUUAUCCUAGUUCUCGGGUAUCUAAAAUAAGUUGGUAUAACUAUUCCCACUAACACCUCCAUUUUCUAUAUAUAAACUAUCUAUUAUUUUUCUUAUUUCAUAUUAUCUAUCCAAAGCUAUUUUUCUUAUCCUCGAGAACAACUCAAUUUUCAUCCAAACGUUAUUUUUUUUAUCCCCAUAUUUAUAUCUAUCCCUAUAAUAGCUAGUUCUUGCUUAUAUCCGAACCAAACAGUCUGUUAAAGAACGUUAGAGUUCAUUUUCACAUAUUUGCCUUAAUUCUAUAUAUAUAUAUAUAUAUAUUCUCUCUCUCUCUCUCUCUCUCUCUCUCUCUCUCUAUAUAUAUAUAGAGUUGAGCUAGAAUACUAUCAGUAGUAAACGAGCCGUUUUACUACCUAUUUGUUUUUGAUGAUAAAGCUUCCAAAUUGACGAUCGUCUCCGUUAAAUAUGAUCUAAACCAUUUAAACUAUCUAGAAAUCAAAUUUCACGCACUUUCGAUAUUGUUCUUUUAUCCAUCAAGUGAACAGAAAAAUGAAUGACUGAAAAUGAUAUUCUUUAAAAAAUAAUGAUAGGAGUCUUAUAAUCAAGAUCACGAGUAUAGAUCUUGUUUUAAAUAGUUUAAAGAAUUUUCUAACAAAAAUUCAAUUCAUUUUGAUAUCUUUACGCCGUUAAACGAGAAAACGCCUCUUAUCGACCAUUAAAAUUAUAAAUUUUGAAACCCUUUGAUCAUUAGGCAAAUGAUGUCGAAAAGAUUUGAAAUUUGAUUUCUAAAUACUUCAAGUGGUAUAAAUCAUGUUCAACGGAGCCGAUCGUCAAUUUGGAAGCUCUAUCAUCGAAAACAAAUAGAUGGCAACGGAGUCCGUUUGCUACUAAUAACAUUCCAGCUCAACUCUCUCUCUCUCUCUCUCUCUCUCUCUCUCUCUCUAUAUAUAUAUAUAUAUAUAUAUCUAUAUAUAUAGAGGGGAGCUAGAAUACUUUUACAAGUAUCACCUGGGUGGUGCUUUAGUGUUUUUAGUCCUUGGAUGGAGAGAUGUGAGGUUGAGAUGAUGGUGGUAGGUGGUGGUAGGUAGAAUAGUAUUUGACCCAAGAACUAUUAGUAAUUAAGAAGUAGAUCCAAUGGCUAAAAACCUAAUAGCACCAUGGGGGUGAUACUUAUAAAAGUAUCCUAUCUCAACUCUCUCUAUAUAUAUAUAGAGAGAGUGGAGCUGGAAUACUAUCGGUAGCAAACGGGCUCCAUUGCCACCCAUUUGUUUUCGAUGAUGGAGCCUCCAAAUCGACGAUCGGUACCGUUGAAAAUGAUCUAUACCACUUGAAGUAUCUAGAAAUCAAAUUUCAUAUUUUUCCGAUAUUGUUCUCUCGUUCAUCAAGUGGGCGUAAAAAUGAACGGCUGAAAAUGAAUAUCCUCUAAAAAGUGAUAAUAGGAAUUUUGUAAUCAAGAUCGAGAGUGUAGAUCUUGUUCUAAAUAGUUUAAAAAAUUUUCUAACCAAAAUUCAAUUGAUUUAGAUAGUUUUACACCGUUAAAUGAGAAAACACCUCAUAUCGACCAUUAAAAUUACAAAUUUUGAAACCCUUUGAUCAUUAGGUCAAUGAUAUCAAAAAUAUUUGAAAUUUAAUUUCUAAAUAUUUCAAGUGAUAUAGAUCAUGUUCAACGGUGCCGAUCGUCGAUUUGAGGGCUCCAUCAUCGAAAACAAAUAGAUGGCAACGGAGUCCGUUUGCUACUAAUAACAUUCCAGCUCAACUCUCUCUCUCUCUCUCUCUCUCUCUCUCUCUCUCUAUAUAUAUAUAUAUAUAUAUAAAAC
Molecule: long non-coding RNA, 3219 nt
Filed under: Ananas comosus (pineapple)
Lineage: Eukaryota; Viridiplantae; Streptophyta; Magnoliopsida; Poales; Bromeliaceae
Description: long non-coding RNA (ACOM_LNC011377)
Source: RNAcentral